This 121-nucleotide ribosomal RNA is filed under the name uncultured bacterium. Its description in RNAcentral is "partial 16S ribosomal RNA". The record is from RNAcentral.
CCGGGGUUUCUUUACCAGGUACUGUCAUUAUCAUCCCUGGCGAAAGAGCUUUACGACCCUAAGGCCUUCAUCACUCACGCGGCAUCGCUAGAUCAGGCUUGCGCCCAUUGUCUAAGAUUCC